CUUUGGUAACAAUCUGGAGUCUCCAGGGAGCUCUGCAGCAGUUCAAAAACUAAAGGUGGAAACUGUCCCUGCUCUUUCUGAUGGUGUACCACCCAUUAAAGAUGGAAAACAGGACCAGUAGUGGAUGAGUUGUGACUGCUGACAUCAGAACCACAUGAGACAUCAGAGGAGGUUCACCUAUCUGAGGAGAUAGUGUCACAUCGAUGUCAAUGUGAAACACAAACACAUGACGGAGUAAACAAAGUGUUACUGAGAUGGAGAAUGACUGCAGAAUUCCAAAGUGCAGAUGAUUUAGUGCAUGUGUCACAACAAGUCAGUAUGCAGGUAAAGCAAGUAAUUAAGAA
Molecule: long non-coding RNA, 344 nt
Organism: Chiloscyllium plagiosum (whitespotted bambooshark)
Lineage: Eukaryota; Metazoa; Chordata; Chondrichthyes; Orectolobiformes; Hemiscylliidae
Source: RefSeq, a predicted model, not a curated record